CCUACGGGUGGCAGCAGUAGGGAAUUUUUCACAAUGGGCGAAACCCUGAUGGAGCAACGCCGCGUGCAGGAUGAAGGCCUUCGGGUUGUAAACCGCUUUUAUCAGCGAGAAAUAUGAUGGUACCUUAUGAAUAAGCCUCGGCUAACUACGUGCCAGCAGCCGCGGUCAUACGUAGGAGCCGAGCAUUAUCCGGAGUGACUGGGUGUAAAGAGUUCCUUAGGUGGCAUAAUAAGUAGCUAGUGAAAUCUGGUGGCUCAACCAGUCAGACUAUUAGCUAAACUGUUAAGCUCGAGACCGUUAGAGGUAAGUGGAAUUUCUAGUGUAGGAGUGAAAUCCGUAGAUAUUAGAAGGAACACCAGUAGCGUAGGCAGGUUACUGGGAAGGAUCUGACGCUAAGGCACGAAAGCGUAGGGAGCAAACGGGAUUAGAUACCCGGGUAGUC
Molecule: ribosomal RNA, 442 nt
Filed under: uncultured bacterium
Lineage: Bacteria
Description: partial 16S ribosomal RNA
Rfam family: Bacterial small subunit ribosomal RNA
Source: RNAcentral